This 496-nucleotide ribosomal RNA is filed under the name uncultured bacterium. RNAcentral's name for it is "partial 16S ribosomal RNA". It matches the Rfam family "Bacterial small subunit ribosomal RNA", at positions 28 to 506 of the family's 1533-position model. The record is from RNAcentral.
GAUGAACGCUGGCGGCGUGCCUAAUACAUGCAAGUCGAGCGAACAGAUGAGGAGCUUGCUCCUCUGACGUUAGCGGCGGACGGGUGAGUAACACGUGGAUAACCUACCUAUAAGACUGGGAUAACUUCGGGAAACCGGAGCUAAUACCGGAUAAUAUAUUGAACCGCAUGGUUCAAUAGUGAAAGACGGUUUUGCUGUCACUUAUAGAUGGAUCCGCGCCGCAUUAGCUAGUUGGUAAGGUAACGGCUUACCAAGGCAACGAUGCGUAGCCGACCUGAGAGGGUGAUCGGCCACACUGGAACUGAGACACGGUCCAGACCCCUACGGGGGGCAGCAGUAGGGAAUUUUCCGCAAGGGGCGAAAGCCUGAGGGAGAAACGCCGCGUGGGUGAAGAAGGUCUUCGGAUCGUAAAACUCUUUUAUUAGGGAAGAACAAAUUUGAAAGUAACUAGGACCGUUUUGACGGUACCAAAACAGAAAGCCACGGCUAACCACGU